GCCCACCCAAGGUUUUGUCUUGAUCUCCAGUGUGAGUACAUGCCUCUUUCCGUUUAUUUUUCUUUAAAAUUUGUUUCCUUCCAACAUUUCUCGAACCGCCACCUCGAAAGAGGGAGAAUCGGUCAUCUAUGGUUAGUAGUGUAUUUGCUUCACCAGCUUGUGUUUCAAUCUCUUCUAAAGGAAAAAAAUAGAAGACAAUAUCACACCUAUAUAUUUUAAUAUUUUUCAGUCACUUGUCUUCCUUUUUCUGUUUUUGUUUAAUGUGAACAUAAAUAAUACUAUAGUUGUUGAAGUGGAUUAUGCAUCCAAGGUGUUUGAUGAUAUGUCUAACUCAUUUUAAUUGGAGUAAUGGAAUUCACAAAUCUUAUUUUGAUUAUUUUCAGGUGAAAGCAGAUGUGACAGAGGGAUCAACUGAAAUAACCAACGCCCUAAGUGACGAUUCAGGUGUAUUUAAUCUGUGAUUGAAGGUCUGCAGCCUUCACAGGAUUGCUGGCACCAUGGAAGGUUAGUCAACUUCGGUCCACAAAAUAGUAGUCUUUGUCAGAUCCGUCACAAUUGAUCUUUGUUAGGGUCAGCAAUAUGAGAUGAUUAUAUGAUAAGCUUGCAGAGAGUCUUAGUCUCAAUUUUAUGCAAUGCAAUGUCUAUGCAUGGUAUUUAAGUCUGAAAUUGUCAGUAGUCUUUAGUAGCUUGAAAAUCACAAUGAAGAGAACUUGGUUAAAAAUAUUCAUGUAAGUAACUAUGCAAACUGAUUUAAAGUUCAUCAAUUAGUUCAACAUCUACAACCUAUGCAAGAAAAUUAGGCAGUCGAAUGAAAUGCUUAGCAACAAAUUACAGUAGCUUUCCUACGAAGGCCUUUAUUACUUAUAUGCUAAUACGCUUAGGACUGUUAUUUUAUAAUCAGUUCCACAAACGAGCUAUAAAGAUUUAUGUUACCUUCUCAAAAAGAAAAAGGAGCUAUGAAGAUUUUCCAUGACUUCAUAAUUCAAGUUAGUUCUUGACAUAGUCUAAUGAAGAUGGUAAUAUUGUAGCCUUCCAGUUAUAGAAUAUAUGCUAAAAUUGUGGGACUGCACAAAAAAUUAAGGAUGACCAAACCCCUCUCUCUCUCUCUGUACCUAUUUAAUUUCUCCUAUAUGAACGCUUUCCUACAUACCAUUUGGUUUGGCAUUGCCAAAAAUCAUACACAAUAAAUAAUUAACAUCACAGUUAGUAUGGCAGGAUAGAUUAUCAAAUAUUAUAGUGAAUAUAGCUUGUAAUAUUUAGGUACCUUAACUAAUAUUGUAAGGAGAAGUUUCAAAGGAGAUACUUAGAAUGAAUUUUGCUCUGUAAAACUUUGCACUUGAACUUUUUCGAAUUAAAGUGUAUAGGUGUUUUGUGCAUUUGUAGUUUUUUAAGUUGGUAAGACAUCAAAUGACAAUGGAUUGUACAAUAUAGUAAUAUGAACGCGUGUUUUCUAUUGCCCUUAUACUAAAUAUAAUACAUUUUAAUUCUAAAAACCUAUUCCCUGAUUUCAAACACAUACUUUCUUGAAAAGCUAGAGAUCAUCCUGUUAACAAGAACGUCGCAGCAUUUUUUAUGAUUCGAUGGAGAAAUUGCUCUUGUGAUGAGACUUUUUUUUGUUUCUACACAAGAUUAGAAUGUUAAAUCUCUUGUUUGUUUAAACAAGAAUGAUAGUCUUUCAACUAACAAACUCUCCACAGAAUAGGCAACUUGAGAGACUUCUUCUGUUAUAUUCUUUUACACUUGAAAGCUUUUCUAUUGAUUGUUUAUAGUUAGUGUAUAUUUUGUUCAGUUAGAGGAAUAAUGUUCUACUGGAGCUUUGAAGUUUCAAGCAUUUCUUUGCAUUACUACAGAGGUUAUGAAAUAUUUCUCUAAGCCUUUUUCCUGUCAAAAUUUUUGUUUAGAGGUUGAAACCUUGAUUGUUCUACCUUAUCAAAAGUGAAACCUUGAAUGCUUUAGCUGGUUCUGUAGUAAACUGAUCUGUGCAUGAAUAAAUUUCUUUUUAUAUGUUGUGUGGGCUUGACAUGAAUUGACAGCUGAAUUUGUUCGAGGCACAAGCUAUGGUCUAAAAGUAGCAAUUUGAGCAAAAAACAAAACCCUUAUUAGUGAUCAUUACAUGUAAUCAAUUGCUUAUACCAUAAAACUUCUUAGAGGUGGGAAAGCAUUUUGAAUGUUGUUCAAUAAUUCAAUUUAGCACUAACGAAUUCCAUAUUGGCUUGCUCAAUACUUAUACAUACGUGUCAAGUAUCACUUGAUUUGUCAUAUUACAAUUAUUAGCUAAUGGCACUUGGUUCUGUUACAUGAUAACAGGAGCUACCAAUGAAUGAAAGAAAAAUAAGUUCAUUUUGUCAUAUUAACUGUGUUUCCAUGUUAUGUUUAAGAGAUUACAGAGGAUGCAUCGAUGAUGCCUAACAUAAAGUGAAAACUUACAGUUUUCUCUCUUUGAUGUUUGGGAUAGGGAUCUGUCGUUAAAUUUCUUUUGUGGGAAAACACUAUUCUUUGACUAUAUUUUUUAUUAGCAGAGUUGUUUGAAGGCUAGAAUUAAAUUGUGGCUGACAUGAAAUUCACAUAUGAUGCUAUCGGCCAGCAUUAUCGGAAUCAAAAGCGAAGACGUGUUCUGAGCUUUGUGGUCAAAUAUGUUUGUAGUGUUUCCAAAGAAACAAGGAGAAAAAGAUACAAGAAGAUUGAUUCUUCUGCAUUCGAAGGGACUCAAUGAUUUGGUGAAAUCAAUUUCCUUCUUAACAUGUGCAACAAUCUCUCUCUCCGUGUUGCAUGUAUAUUGAUGAAGUUGAAGAAUUUAAAGUGGA
RNAcentral lists this long non-coding RNA (2804 nucleotides) under Nicotiana tabacum (common tobacco). Its description in RNAcentral is "long non-coding RNA (NTAB_LNC004932)". Lineage: Eukaryota; Viridiplantae; Streptophyta; Magnoliopsida; Solanales; Solanaceae. The record is from RNAcentral.